Molecule: ribosomal RNA, 254 nt
Filed under: uncultured bacterium
Lineage: Bacteria
Description: partial 16S ribosomal RNA
Rfam family: Bacterial small subunit ribosomal RNA
Source: RNAcentral
UACGUAGGGUCCAAGCGUUAUCCGGAAUUACUGGGCGUAAAGAGUUGCGUAGGUGGCAAUAUAAGUCGGUAGUGAAAGCGUGAGGCUCAACCUCAUAAACAUUAUUGAAACUGUAUAGCUAGAGCAUGAGAGAGGUAACUGGAAUUCCUAGUGUAGGAGUGAAAUCCGUAGAUAUUAGGAGGAACACCGAUGGCGUAGGCAGGUUACUGGCUCAUUGCUGACACUAAGGCACGAAAGCGUGGGGAGCGAACGGG